Molecule: RNase P RNA, 396 nt
Filed under: Treponema sp.
Lineage: Bacteria; Pseudomonadati; Spirochaetota; Spirochaetia; Treponematales; Treponemataceae
Description: RNase P RNA component class A
Rfam family: Bacterial RNase P class A
About the family: Ribonuclease P (RNase P) is a ubiquitous endoribonuclease, found in archaea, bacteria and eukarya as well as chloroplasts and mitochondria. Its best characterised activity is the generation of mature 5'-ends of tRNAs by cleaving the 5'-leader elements of precursor-tRNAs.
Source: RNAcentral
GCGAUGAACUAUGCUGCCGCGUCAUAGGCGGUUUUAGCCGUAUAUGAUGAGGAAAGUCCGGGCUCCGCAGGGCAUGAUGCCGGGUAACUCCCGGGCGGGGCUUCUAGAAGCUUCCGACAGAAAGCGCAACAGAAAGUAAACCGCUGGUAUGGCUCCGUGAGGAGGUAUCCAGUAAGGGUGAAAGGGCGGGGUAAGAGCCCACCGCGGGAUCGGUAACGAUUUCGGCACGGCAAGCCUCAUCAGGAGCAAAGUCAAACAGCGGCAGAACGGCCCGUUUUAAGCCGCGGGUAGACUGCGUAGAUUGGAUCCGUGAGGAUCCUGCUAGAUAGAUGGCAGCUCGUACGUGCUCGAGAGAGCAGGUACUAUACAGAACCCGGCUUAUGGUUCAUCGCUUUU